This 453-nucleotide ribosomal RNA is filed under the name Salmonella enterica subsp. enterica serovar Vitkin. Its description in RNAcentral is "partial 23S ribosomal RNA". It matches the Rfam family "Bacterial large subunit ribosomal RNA", at positions 412 to 867 of the family's 2925-position model. Lineage: Bacteria; Pseudomonadati; Pseudomonadota; Gammaproteobacteria; Enterobacterales; Enterobacteriaceae. The record is from RNAcentral.
GUAGGGCGGGACACGUGGUAUCCUGUCUGAAUAUGGGGGGACCAUCCUCCAAGGCUAAAUACUCCUGACUGACCGAUAGUGAACCAGUACCGUGAGGGAAAGGCGAAAAGAACCCCGGCGAGGGGAGUGAAAAAGAACCUGAAACCGUGUACGUACAAGCAGUGGGAGCACCCUUUGGGGUGUGACUGCGUACCUUUUGUAUAAUGGGUCAGCGACUUAUAUUCUGUAGCAAGGUUAACCGUAUAGGGGAGCCGUAGGGAAACCGAGUCUUAACCGGGCGUUAAGUUGCAGGGUAUAGACCCGAAACCCGGUGAUCUAGCCAUGGGCAGGUUGAAGGUUGGGUAACACUAACUGGAGGACCGAACCGACUAAUGUUGAAAAAUUAGCGGAUGACCUGUGGCUGGGGGUGAAAGGCCAAUCAAACCGGGAGAUAGCUGGUUCUCCCCGAAAGCU